AUUGAACGCUGGCGGCAGGCCUAACACAUGCAAGUCGAGCGGAUGAAGGGAGCUUGCUCCUGGAUUCAGCGGCGGACGGGUGUGUAAUGCCUAGGAAUCUGCCUGGUAGUGGGGGAUAACGUCCGGAAACGGGCGCUAAUACCGCAUACGUCCUGAGGGAGAAAGUGGGGGAUCUUCGGACCUCACGCUAUCAGAUGAGCCUAGGUCGGAUUAGCUAGUUGGUGGGGUAAAGGCCUACCAAGGCGACGAUCCGUAACUGGUCUGAGAGGAUGAUCAGUCACACUGGAACUGAGACACGGUCCAGACUCCUACGGGAGGCAGCAGUGGGGAAUAUUGGACAAUGGGCGAAAGCCUGAUCCAGCCAUGCCGCGUGUGUGAAGAAGGUCUUCGGAUUGUAAAGCACUUUAAGUUGGGAGGAAGGGAAGUAAGUUAAUACAUUGCUGUUUUGACGGUAACAACAGAAUAAGCACCGGCUAACUUCGUG
This 484-nucleotide ribosomal RNA is filed under the name uncultured bacterium. RNAcentral describes it as "partial 16S ribosomal RNA". It matches the Rfam family "Bacterial small subunit ribosomal RNA", at positions 30 to 507 of the family's 1533-position model. The record is from RNAcentral.